This 419-nucleotide long non-coding RNA is filed under the name Equus caballus (horse). RNAcentral describes it as "lncRNA (ENSECAG00000048113.1)". The record is from RNAcentral. Lineage: Eukaryota; Metazoa; Chordata; Mammalia; Perissodactyla; Equidae.
CGGGACAAUUUAUCUUGUGAUCCUCCAGAAAGAGAAGAGAGAGUGGAGCCUAAUUUUUUCCUUCUCACAACUCUGCCACCCUUGCCUCCAUUGCAAAGAAGGAAAUCCUCACAAAGGCUUUGACGUGUUUCUUACAAAAUAAGGUGGUAAAAACUGAAGCCAAAGGCAUCUAUUUCCAAGAAGAUUAGCCAGAAUCAGAAAAUUCCUAGUUAUUAUUAUUAGAAGCCCUUAUGCAUUCACCAGUUGGAGAAGUGAGAUAUGAGAUUUGAUGCAACUUGAUAUCAAGACUCCAAUGGAAAAGUCUAUUAAAAAAAAACGCAUUUGUGUGCAAAGAUCUGAAUGUAAUGUGCACAGCAUUUGAGAUGAUCAGAUUCACCAUUUAGCUGGACCGCUUAUCAUUUGCUGGACCACGAGGAGCC